Molecule: ribosomal RNA, 440 nt
Filed under: uncultured bacterium
Lineage: Bacteria
Description: partial 16S ribosomal RNA
Rfam family: Bacterial small subunit ribosomal RNA
Source: RNAcentral
CCUACGUGAGGCAGCAGUGGGGAAUAUUGCACAAUGGGGGAAACCCUGAUGCAGCGACGCCGCGUGAGUGAAGAAGUAUCUCGGUACGUAAAGCUCUAUCAGCAGGGAAGAUAAUGACGGUACCUGACCACUCAGCCCCGGCUAACUACGUGCCAGCAGCCGCGGUAAUACGUAGGGGGCAAGUGUUCUCCGGAUUUACUGGGUGGAAAGGGAGCGUAGACGGCAGCACAAGUCUGGAGUGAAAUCCCGGGGCUUAACCCCGGAACUGCUUUGGAAACUGUGCGGCUGGAGUGCAGGAGGGGUAAGCGGAAUGCCUAGUGUAGCGGUGAAAUGCGUAGAUAUUAGGAGGAACACCGGUGGCGAAGGCGGCUUACUGGACUGUAACUGACGUUGAGGCUCGAAAGCGUGGGGAGCAAACAGGAUUAGAUACCCUUGUAGUC